GAUGAACGCUGGCGGCGUGCCUAAUACAUGCAAGUCGAGCGAACAGACGAGGAGCUUGCUCCUCUGACGUUAGCGGCGGACGGGUGAGUAACACGUGGAUAACCUACCUAUAAGACUGGGAUAACUUCGGGAAACCGGAGCUAAUACCGGAUAAUAUAUUGAACCGCAUGGUUCAAUUGUGAAAGACGGUUUUGCUGUCACUUAUAGAUGGAUCCGCGCCGCAUUAGCUAGUUGGUAAGGUAACGGCUUACCAAGGCGACGAUGCGUAGCCGACCUGAGAGGGUGAUCGGCCACACUGGAACUGAGACACGGUCCAGACUCCUACGGGAGGCAGCAGUAGGGAAUCUUCCGCAAAGGGCGAAAGCCUGACGGAGCAACGCCGCGUGAGUGAUGAAGGUCUUCGGAUCGUAAAACUCUGUUAUUAGGGAAGAACAAAUGUGUAAGUAACUAUGCACGUCUUGACGGUACCUAAUCAGAAAGCCACGGCUAACUACGUG
RNAcentral lists this ribosomal RNA (497 nucleotides) under uncultured bacterium. RNAcentral's name for it is "partial 16S ribosomal RNA". It matches the Rfam family "Bacterial small subunit ribosomal RNA", at positions 28 to 507 of the family's 1533-position model. The record is from RNAcentral.